AUGACUUUGAGCUCCAUCCUCAUCUGGACUCUCCUCUGCUGCUGCUUGACAGAGUCCAGAGGCCAGGUCACAGUGACUCAGCCUGGAGCAGUGAGGGCUGCUCUGGGAGCCUCCGUCACCAUCACAUGUAAAACCAGCCAGGAUGUUUAUGUUUCGGGCAGCUACCACCAAUUAGCCUGGUACCAACAGAGAGAUGGAGAAAUUCCAAAACUGCUCAUUUACAAUGCUAAUACUCGAGAAUCAGGGAUUCCAGGUCGUUUUACAGGCAGUGGAUCAGGGAGUGACUUCACUCUGACCAUCAGUGGAGUCCAGGCUGAAGAUGCAGCAGUUUACUACUGUCAGAGUUACCACAGUGGUGGAGUGUUCACACAGUGA
Myripristis murdjan (pinecone soldierfish) is the source of this 375-nucleotide non-coding RNA. The record is from the annotation of a RefSeq genome assembly. NCBI's taxonomy places the organism in Eukaryota, Metazoa, Chordata, Actinopteri, Holocentriformes, Holocentridae.